CAAGCUCGGGGUGGAGGGGCGCGGGGGAGCUGAUGUCUGCGGUGGUGGCUCUCAAGGAAGACUCUGGAGGCACCCGCGCCGGGGCUGCUCGGGGGCCCGUCCCCACCUUAGCACUUGCCCUGCCGCAGCCAUCCGCGGCCUCCUGGGCGCCCCUGUCCCGUGCUCUCCCCUCCCGCAGGCCCGCCCCACCCGGGCAGGGGGCUGCUCCCUCGCUCCGGCCCCGAGCUCGCUCUGAUGCCCCGGGCCCCGCAGGAAGGCACAGGUUUCCAAGGCGGCCACCCCGCGUAAGGAGCCGAGGGGCCUGGGGGCGGCCCCGGCGGGGCCAGCUCGGUGGGCUCGGGGCGUCCGCAGUCCUAGGCGGCAGCCUCCCGGCCCAGACACCCAAUGGAAGCGCCGCAGGGCCAGCCGGUGGGCCGUGGGGCGCCCUCCGCCCCCUGAAAGGCGCCUUCCGACCCGGCGUCGCAAGCCUCGCGCGGCCCCGCCGGCCUCUCGGAGCGCGGCCUCCUCUCCCCGCGCGGACCGUUCCUCGCGGACCGCCCUCCGCGAGCCGCGCCCCGCGCCCGCCGUUGAUCCUCGCCCCGCCCGCCGUUGAUUCCCGCCAGCCGUUGAUCCCCGCCCGCCGUUGAUUCCCGCCAGCCGUUGAUCCCCGCCCGCCGUUGAUCCCCGCCCGGUGGCCGCACCUCUGCUCCGCCAUGUUCCCAGGCUGGCCCGCCGCGAGGGCGUGCUGCCACCCGCUCGGUGUUACAGCGCCGUCCCGCAGGCUCAGUGCCCGUCUGGGGGCUCCUUGUUGGCUCUGAAGAUGCUGGUGCUGGCUGCUCGAACCUCCAGGCUGUUCGUCAGUAAGGGUCGCCCAAGAACGAGGUUGACAAAGGCGGUGCUUGAUGAAGGCCAUCAGCUCAGUUCUCCACCUCACUGAUGUCCAGGAAGACAGAGGGAGAAAAGCUUUUAGACCUGUCAAGGAGGACUUCACCACCACAUCUGCCAGUUUUGGGCCCUCCCUGCAAAAGUCGCUGUGCCACUGCCACUGUCGUAGGGUGGAGGUGAGCUGCUCUGACAUCCUCAGCUUCCUUGUACAGCCAUUGCUGAAGACCUGGGCUUGGAGAAGGUAGUUGAGCCAUAGUGGCUUAAUAAGGUCUUGGGGGAUGACACAGGCCAUGUCAGACUGCACUGCCUCAGCCACUUUCCCCUUGCAGACCUGUGUUACUAAAACAUUACCAGUCACUGACUUGGCUGACCUUUAUUAUGAAACAAGACGUGCAAUUUCUUGUUCUCCUUCUUUUGCUGUUCAUGUUGACUCUCUUUCUCCCUAUAGAGUCAAGCUCACUUUUGGGGUUCCAUUUAGUAAUGAGAACAGAGGCCCUUGCAUUCCCAUCCCUCAGUCAUAGCUGCAGCAUCUUCUAUUUUAACCUCCCCGUAUCUCCUAUCACCUCAGUCCUCUCUGUCACACUUGCCUCCUACAGAAUGGAGUCACCAAAACCUAUGUUUGUGGAUUCUUCUAUCUUUUUCAUAUAGUCCCUCCUCCAGUCACCAGCAGUCCCCAAUCUUCACCUGCUAGCCCAUCAUUCCUUCCAUGGUCACGUCUACCAUCACAACCAGCACGCCAGCCUGCUUUGGACUUUGGUAUCACUGACAAGGACGCCACUUUCUCUUCCCAGGCUCUUAUCUCCAGGUCUCACCCAGGCUUUAGGGAGAACUUCUUUUUAUUUUCCAUGGCACUUCCUCGUUCUGAGAAGAUGUCUCCCUGUGGCAGCAUUGCCUCAGACCCAGUUUCCACCAGCCUGCCUGCACAGUCAGCAGCCCAAACGCAACUUUCAAACUCCCUUUGACCUGGGAACCACCACCAUCCCUUGGCCCACAUUUAGGGCUCCUGAUGGGCUGCAGCCUGGAGCCACCCAAUGGCAGCUCUCUCCCUUUUGGAAGCCAGCCAGCUCUAGCACAAGCUACAAUUUGAGCUUUGCCACAGCCCAGCCACUCAAUGGCAGCACAAUUCAAUGAGCUUUGUGGGUUAACAUCCCCAUUUUCCACCUUUGGCAUCCCUGUCAGCACCCAGCUAGACUUCGGAGACACCCAGGCAUUUUUCCCAGUGGCACAGCCGCUACUUCUGUCUUAAGAGCAACUACCACUGGGGACAGUAGCUCAUUGUUUGCUAACACCACUGCAGACCCAUUUGUGUUGUGGGUUCUGCAGCCCUUAUGGAUGGCAGCAGCUUUGGGUGACUGUGGCUGCCCAGGCCCCAGCUCCAUUCUGGAGGACUCAACUUUGAUGCAGGACCAAGCAGACACUGGUCCGCUAAGUUGGGGACACUUAGACCUGAGCACCAGGGUCCUGCUGACUAUGGCACUUCACUUGCAAUUGGAGAGCUCACUUGUACAGCAAAUCUGUCCUGGAAGACACUUUCCUUUCUGCCUCAUAGUCAGAGCACUUGGAGCCAGCUGGGUGAAGGCACAUCCGUGACUACUGAAGGAGUCAGCACCACUGAGAAGAAAUGAGUGCCAGGUCACACUUUUUUCCUCCGAGUGGUCAGAUCAGCUGGGAUCCUGCGUACCAGAGCAUAUCUGUUGCAGUCAGAGGAACUGAGCACCAUAACUGUGUUGGGAAAUCUUCUUCCUGCCUUCUGCUGGAGCUCCUGGGGUCCCCCUGGCCACAGCAUGUGUGCUGCAGUGGGAGGGAUGAGCACCAUUUGUAUGCUUGGAGGUAUUUCUCUUCAUGUCUACAAUCAGAGCACCUGGGCACACCGGCCAGAGUUCAUCUUUAGAAGUUGUAGAGCCAGUGCCACAACUGUGCUUGCAGCCCCUUGUGUUCCUGCCUACAGUCACAGCACCUGGGGCCUGUGUGAUAUGAUGGAUGGAGGAGGGCAUCACCAAACUUGUGCUUGGGGCCUUCCCACCAUCAUUCUGAGCUCCUGGGGUGCUCAUCGUCAAAGUGUGACUCUUACAGUCAGAGGGACAACGCCAAAAUUUUUAAGGGGACGUUUCUACUUUUUCCUGCAGUCAGAAUACCUGGUCAUCCAGCCAUGGUACCCCCUUUGACUUUCGGGGGGCAGCACUACUAAGAAAAUGCCUGUGUUUGGAGGCACUUUUGCUCCUAUAUUUGGUCAGAAGUAAUUCCAACUCAGAUGUGGUCACAGCAAUUAUCAGCCUUGCCUUCGGGGCACCUUUGCCACCAUCCACACCUGUGGGAGCCAGAAGUGUAGGACUACCAACCCUUCAUUUUGUCCUAGUGCAAGAUGCAGAUCUCAUCAAUUAAGAAGCAAAAGCUUCCAAGAAUGGAACUUGCUCUGCUGGGAAGAGGCUCAGUCCUUUGUAGUUAUGUCAAACAAACGUAACCGCUCUCUGUCUUCCCACUGCAAGCUGGAGGUCCCACGCCUCAGGGCAUGUGUGUGUGUGUCAGAGUGGGUAGGGCAGAGGAGGCUGGUCAGUUCUCAACAGUCGAAGUUCCACUGCAGAGAGUAGAAGAAAGAUCUGUACAUAUCAUCACCUGAGCCAUUCCUGGCUUUGACUGUUAGCCUGGCCAACCCAAGCUCUGGGACAAUUUUCCUCUCACCUUGGAACUGGUAGGACACAGCCUCCUGCUUACAGCUGCCCCUUUCUCCUUACUCAUUUGCCUCAAUGGGCACUUAUCUUUCUGUUCCAGAUUAUGUGUAUAAAGCUUUGUUCUUGCUAGUGCAUCCUCUGCUCAUGUGUCCUUUCUCUUUGACUCAACUUUGGAGGAAGAAUUGAUGUGUAUUAAUGGUGAUGUAUUUGACCAAACUUAACUGUGCAAAGUUUUCUGUGGCCUAGCAAAUAGGAAGUGGACGUUCCCACACCUUAUGACUUCUGAAGUCUCUGUGCUUCUAGUGAAGGGAUGGCAACCAGGGGGACAUGAGAUCCAGAGGAUGGAGAGACAGCGUGACUUGAACUUGCUGCUUCCCCUGGGGUUCUCCCACCAUCUGACCUCAGUGUAGGUGAUACUACCCCUGAUGUGUGUUCAGAAGUCACAGUUUUAGUCAUUUAAAAGUGCCUCAGUGUCUUUUUUUUUAUUUAGACUUAGGCCAAUUGUCCCCACACAUUCCCACUUCACCUGGAGAGGGUGAGCCUGGCAUCUAGGCUCAUGGGCCUGAAUAAAGGCAGGAAGAGCUCACACUUGCUCUGUAAUGAUUUGAAAUGUUAACAUAUUACAUAUUGCACUUGUUAUCAUGCUGCUUCAAGGAUCAGAACAUAUCCUCUUUUCAGGGAAAUAACUCGGCAGGGCUUACUUGGGAAAAUAACCAGUCUGGCUCUUGUCUACACUACUAAAAUAUCAAAUUGCAAGAAAUAUGCUUUCACCCAGAUCUGGCUGACCUUAGAGUCCUGCAGCAUCUCCACUAGACCUAAUUCCUGACAAUGCAGUCCUUUCUAAGGCAUUUCAUAUUAGGAGAACCUACUUAGGAACAGGGAAAGAGAAAAGUACAAACAUUUCCCCCAGCAACUUCCCUAUUGUUUUACUAAACAUUUAUUCAGUUAAGACUCCACACUAGUCUUUAUGCUAGGCUCUAGUGAUGGUUGAAAGAUAUCUCUUGCCCCUGAGAAGUUUACAAUGCAGUGUGGAAGACGGAUAAAUAGACCCAGAGUUUAUAGCUGGAAGGCUCAGUGCUAGAGUAAUGGGAGCAGCUAAGGAGGACAUAAAACUGAGUCUAGGGUGGAAGAAAUUUGAGUUGCUCCUUAAAGAAGAAAGAGGAAGAAGCCAGGUGAAGAAGGACUAGUUCCAGGUCAAAGAAAUUGUAUGCGAAAAGUCUGGGAAGGAAGUGAGAUCCUGAGCCAGUGGGGCACAAGUCAGGGAGUUGGGUGUGGCUGGUGACUGAAUCUGGGGCUGGAAGGUACAGCUGCAGGAUUCAGUAGGGGCUAUCAUGGUCAAACUCGUAUACCACAAUGGGGCAUUUGUCUAUUUGAAAGUGAGGGGAGUCUUGAAAGGAUUGUUAGCAAACAAGGGGCAAGAUUAUAUGUAGACUUUAGAAAUAUCCCUGUGGUUUUAUGAGAUGGAGGAAUUAAAUGGGAGCCAGAGCAGAGGCAAAGAGGCUAAUGGGAAACUUUGUAGUGACCCAGGCUGAGAUAAGACAAUGAGCUCCUGGCCUAGAGUUGCUGUUGGUAGCGGUGGUGUUGGGGUAAAGUGGGGAGGUGAAGUAGGUAACUGCAACAAAACCAGGCUUAUUCCAGUCUUCUUUUUUGGGUAAAAUGGAACAUGAGUAGUUUUGGCAAAAUUAAGUUCAAUUUUUUUUAAAGAUUUUAUUUUUUCCUUUUUCUCCCCAAAGCCCCCUGGUACAUAGUUGUGUAUUCUUCGUUGUGGG
Molecule: long non-coding RNA, 5302 nt
Filed under: Equus caballus (horse)
Lineage: Eukaryota; Metazoa; Chordata; Mammalia; Perissodactyla; Equidae
Description: lncRNA (ENSECAG00000044281.1)
Source: RNAcentral